ACCUGGCUGAAUUGACUCGAGCCUCUGAAUGGGAGAGCGAUUCCCGGGCAGGAGGGAUUCAGCCAAGGUCAGGCCGCACCGUAGUGGCGUGCUGCACCAAGCAGCGUGCUGCACUGUAGCAGCAGUUACGACGAAAGAAGGAAGGAAGAGAAAAGCAAGGAAAAAAAGAAAAAGAGAGAACUGGAGACCCCGGGCCUCAAGGCGCGGGUGAGCUGAGGCUUAACACAGGAGACAAGCCAAAUUGAAUGCCAGCGAAGGGAACCAAGGCCCUGAAGGCCCGCUGUUGGAGGUUCCCCCAUCCCUAAAAACCGUGAAGGGUUGCCGGGAGCUCAACGGUCAAACCCUUGAGUUAGAAGAGAUGGUUAAGCUGGCCGAGAUGGGGACACUCACGAUUAGUUGAUCUGUUGUUUGGAGGAGCUGCAUCCAGGGAACACGUGGGUCGUAGGCCGGCGAAGUGGAAAAGAACCCGGUUCGGGAGUCACGUGGCACCAAUGUUAUUCUUAAAAAACGAUUAGAGAGCUGCUGCAAACGGUCCCCAGGCGGGCUGGCGGAGGGAGCCCGCCAUGAGGGCGGCUACAGGAGAGCACGCUUCCUUGGCCCAUGGUGGCGGCAGGUAACAGACACGUAAACACAGGAAAUAGCCAUAAGUAUUUAUUAAGGAAGGGGGAGAAAGAAAGACAGAGAAAAGAGAUAAAAGGAGAGAGGAGAGAUAAAAGAAGAGAGAAAGAGAGAAAACGCGUGUGCACGCUAAGGAAGCAGAAAGAGAGAGUGAGUCCCAAGAUGGCGAUGGGCGGGUCAGAGGUUAUGGGAGUGGGCGUGGCUAGGGCAGGGACCCAAGAAUAUCACUAAGGUUUCCAGCUUUCAGAAUUGUUUGUGUCACAAGAGCAUCAUUGUGAGGUUACCCUGCUGGUGUCGUUUGACAAAUGUCUGAGACCUCAGGUUGCAUCAUAUGAGAACCCACAGUGUUUGCAUAACCUGAUUUAAAAACCUGAUGUAUAGGCUUUGGAAGCCUCAAAUAUUAAGGUUUUUUUUUUCAGUACAACUUCCAAAAAAAAGUAAAGUCAUGCUAACUCAGUAUUUAAAGAAACACAUGUCAUGACUUCUACAUGGCAUGUCACUAAAUUGAGUGCUUCAUUCAUGUCAGAGUUGACUGUAACUUUGGCCCUUCUUGUUGAAUAACUCUGGCACAUGCUGAUCAGGAGGCACACAGUUAUUUUGUGGUAUAUGCACAUAAAUGAAUACUCAAUAAUACCAAAAAAUUCCCUGAUAUCAUUUCCCAGGCUCUUGAUACCAAUGAUUUCGUGUGUGUGUGUGGAGGGUUAUAUUAAGAGGUCACACAAGAAUAUUCUCCUUUUCACUUCAAAGUAGAACCUAUUUAUAAUUCUUAGGAGGAGGAAUAUAAGAGAUGUUGUCUUUCAACCUAAGAUAUUUAGCCAGAUUAUGAGUUUUGUUUCUUUAAACAAAUGCAGAAUCAUUUAUACAUAAUCACUAAAGAAAGCAUGAUUUGGCAAAUUUGUUAAAACAAAUUUUAGUAAGUAGAUUAUAAUAUAUGCAAAUGCAUGCAUAUAUAGUCAUCAUUAAUACAUAACAAACUGGAGUAUGAAUUUCCACAGAGCCUCUUGAAUGCUUUCUUUCUAAAAUGUUAGGCUUCUGCACUGUCAUUCCUAAGCUCAUGCCCAGAAGACCAAAAUCAGUUCCUUCACGCAGACUGUACUCUUGUGAUGGAGGUGGGUCUUGUAUCUUAUCUGUUGAUUUCAUUGGUUAAUAAUAAAGAAACUGCCUCGGCCCUCAUAGGACAGAAAAUUAGGUAGGCGGAGUAGACAGAGGAGAAUGCUGGGGAAAAGAAGCUGAGUGAGUGAGUCGCCAUGUUUCUCCUGCUCCAGACAGACGCAGGUUAAGAUCCUCCCUGGUAAGCCAGCUUGUGGGCUACAUAGAAUAUUAGAAAUGGGUUAGAACAAUAUGUAAGAGCUAGCCAAUAAGAAACUGGAACUUGUGGGCCAGGCAGUGUUUGAAAGAAUACAGUUUCCGUGUAAUUAUUUCGGGCAUAAGCUAGCCAUGAGGGCGGCCGGGUGCCGGGGACGCAGCCCUGCCACUCCUAUUUCAACACUCUUGAAAGAUUAGUUUUUCAAAAUACUCAAGGUUUACUUAUCAGAUCAUAAUUCUUCAAAGCUGAUGGUCCAUUACUAACUUUACUAAGAAUUCCAUACUUCCCCCCCCCCCUUGUUUCAAAAUGUAGUAACUAUCCCAUUAUUUUAGAAGAUGUAGAUUUUUUUUUGAAAUGCACUUCUGGGGUUUUGUACCAUUCAUGCUUUUGUUUCACAUUUGUUUUUGUAUUAAGUAGCAUCUCCUGUAGAGAAGACUGGUUGCAAACUUGCUAUUCAGAUGACCAUAGAUUCCCUAAUAUCCUUACUUAGUGCUUUGUGUGACAUGGUAUCUUAUUUACAGAAGAGUGGGUAACAAACCUAGGGUUUGACCCUAACCUACAGAAAUAACAGUCCCAAAGAUGAUGUGUUCAGGGGAAGAACUGGAGAUGAAAAAUAAAAAGGUGGACAGCUGAAAUUGAGAGGUCUUGUUUGAGCUGAUUAUACCAAGCAAUUUUAAUAAGAAACAUAGCUUCUUACAUACUAUUUGCAUGGGAGAAAUGGCCAAGGAGUGCAAAGACAAUGUUUGCCAGGAAAACAGAAGAUAGCUCAAAUUAUCUUCUGUCAACUGCCUUAGGAAUGACAGUCCAGUCCAGGUAAAAGGUCAGUUCCUGAGAAAAAACUGCCACAUUGACCCUGUUUUUCUUUUCAAGUGACAUAAUUUUUUUUUUUAUUUUUUAUUGAAAAAAAAUUUUCCGCCUCCUCCCAGACUCCCAUUCCUCUCCCCCUCCUCCCACUCACUCCCACUCCUCUCCCCCUCCCUCUCCAGUCUGAAGAGCAGUCAGGGUUCCCUGCCCUGUGGAAAGUCCAAGGUCCUCCCCCCUCCAUCUAGGUCUAAGAAGGUGAGCAUCCAAACUGGCAGGCUCCCACAAACCCAGUUCAUGCAGUAGGAUCAAAACCCAAUGCCAUUAUCCUUGGCCUCUCAUCAGCUCUCAUUGUCUGCCAUUUUCAGAGAGUCCGGUUUUAUCCCAUGCUUUUUCAGUCCCAGUCCAACUGGCCUUGGUGAGCUGCCAAUAGAUCAGCCCCAUUGUCUCAGUGGGUAGGUGCACCCCUCACGGUCCUAACUUCCUUGCUCAUGUUCUCCCUCCUUCUGCUCCUCAUUGGGACCUUGGGAGCUUAGUCCGAUGCUCCAGUGUGGGUCUCUGUCUCUAUCUCCAUCCAUCGCUAGAUGAAGGUUCUAUGGUGAUAUGCAAGAUAUUCAUCAGUAUGGAUAUAGGAUAGGGCCAUUUCAGGUUCCCUAUCCUCAGCUGCCUAAGGAACUAACUGAGGACAUUGCCCUGGGCACCUGGGAGCCCCUCUAGGUUCAAGUCUCUUGCGAACCCUAAGAUGGCUCUCUUAAUUAAGAUAUAUGCUUCCCAGCUCCCAUAUCCAUCCUUCCUUUAUCCCAAACAUCCCAUUUCCCAAGUUUCCCCCAUCCUCCCCUUCUCACUUUUCUCUCCCCAUUUUCCCUUACCGCCAUCCCACCCCACCCCCAAGAUCCCAAUUUUUUGCCCGGCAAUCUUGUCUACUUCCCAUAGCCAGGAAGAUAAGUAUAUGUUUUUCUUUGCAUUCACCUUCUAAUUUAGCUUCUUUAGGAUAUCAGAUUAUAGACUCAAUGUCCUUUAUUUAUGGCUAGAAAGCAAUUAUGAGUGAGUACAUCCCAUGUUCAUCUUUUUGGGUCUGGGUUGCUUCGCUCAGGAUAGUGUUUUCUAUUUCCAUCCAUUUGCAUGCAAAAUUCAAGAUGUCAUUGUUUUUUACCGCUGAGUAGUACUCUAAUGUAUAUAUGUCACACUUUUUUCAUCCAUUCUUCCAUUGAAGGACAUCUAGGUUGUUUCCAGGUUCUGGAUAUUACAAAUAAUGCUGCCAUGAAUAUAGUUGAACAAAUGCUUUUGUAAUAUGAUAGGGCAUCUCUUGGGUAUAUUCCCAAGAGUGGUAUUGCUGGGU
This is a long non-coding RNA of Alexandromys fortis (reed vole), 4064 nucleotides long. RefSeq lists it as uncharacterized. NCBI's taxonomy places the organism in Eukaryota, Metazoa, Chordata, Mammalia, Rodentia, Cricetidae. The record is from RefSeq and is a predicted model, not a curated record. The transcript is spliced from 3 exons.